Molecule: unclassified non-coding RNA, 217 nt
Filed under: rhizosphere metagenome
Description: partial ribosomal RNA internal transcribed spacer region
Source: RNAcentral
GUAGGUGAACCUGCGGAAGGAUCAUUACCGAGUUCAUGCCCUUACGGGUAGAUCUCCCACCCUUUGUAUACUAUACCUUUGUUGCUUUGGCGGGCCGCCUAGCUACUGGCUUCGGCUGGUAAGUGCCUGCCAGAGGACCCAAAACCCUGAAUUAUUAGUGUCGUCUGAGUAAAAAAGUUAAUAUUUAAAACUUUCAACAACGGAUCUCUUGGCUCUG